Molecule: small RNA, 1148 nt
Filed under: Pan troglodytes (chimpanzee)
Lineage: Eukaryota; Metazoa; Chordata; Mammalia; Primates; Hominidae
Description: processed transcript
Source: RNAcentral
CUGGGAAUGGCCAUGUGGAACAGGCCAUGCCAGAGGCUGCCUCAGCAGCCUCUGGUAGCUGAGCCCACUGCAGAGGGGGAGCCACACCUGCCCACGGGCCGGGAGCUGACUGAGGCCAACCGCUUCGCCUAUGCUGCCCUCUGUGGCAUCUCCCUGUCCCAGCUAUUUCCUGAACCCGAACACAGCUCCUUCUGCACAGAGUUCAUGGCAGGCCUGGUGAAGUGGCUGGAGUUGUCCGAAGCCGUCUUGCCAACCAUGACUGCUUUUGCGAGCGGCCUGGGAGGUGAAGGAGCAGAUGUGUUUGUUCAAAUUUUACUGAAGGACCCCAUCUUGAAGGACGACCCGACGGUGAUCACUCAGGACCUUCUGAGCUUCUCACUCAGGGAUGGGCACUAUGAUGCCCGGGCCAGAGUCCUUGUUUGCCACAUGACCUCCCUGCUCCAAGUGCCCUUGGAGGAGCUGGAUGUCCUUGAAGAGACGUUCCUGGAGAGCCUGAAGGAAAUCAAAGAGGAGGAAUCUGAAAUGGCCAGGCAUCCCGAAGAAGAAAGAAAACCGGAGGAAAUGGAAGCGUUAUCUCCUGAUAGGCCUGGCGACUGUCGGAGGCGGAACGGUGAUCGGUGUGACUGGAGGUCUAGCUGCACCCCUUGUUGCCGCUGGAGCAGCUACGAUUAUUGGCAGCGCCGGGGCAGCGGCUCUGGGCUCAGCAGCCGGCAUAGCCAUCAUGACCUCGCUGUUUGGUGCAGCUGGAGCUGGCCUGACAGGCACCUUCAGUGCCCCGUGGGCUGCCCUGGCCCACAGCCGUGAGCAGUACUGCCUGGCCUGGGAAGCCAAGUACCUGAUGGAGCUCGGCAAUGCCCUGGAGACCAUCCUCAGUGGUCUCGCCAACAUGGUGGCCCAGGAGGCCCUAAAGUACACAGUGUUGUCUGGCAUUGUGGCUGCCCUGACCUGGCCAGCCUCACUCCUCAGUGUCGCCAAUGUCAUCGACAACCCCUGGGGGGUGUGUCUCCAUCGAUCAGCAGAGGUUGGCAAGCACCUGGCCCACAUCCUGCUCUCCCGGCAGCAGGGCCGACGACCUGUCACCUUGAUUGGCUUCAGCCUGGGAGCCAGAGUCAUCUACUUCUGUCUGCAGGAGAUGGCUCAGGAGAAAG